Molecule: ribosomal RNA, 528 nt
Filed under: uncultured bacterium
Lineage: Bacteria
Description: bacterial SSU rRNA
Rfam family: Bacterial small subunit ribosomal RNA
Source: RNAcentral
UAGUCCAUGCCCUAAACGAUGUCAACUAGUUGUCGGGCCUUAACGGGCUUGGUAACGUAGCUAACGCGUGAAGUUGACCGCCUGGGGAGUACGAUCGCAAGGCUAAAACUCAAAGGAAUUGACGGGGGCCCGCACAAGCGGUGGAGUAUGUGGUUUAAUUCGAAGCAACGCGCAGAACCUUACCUACCCUUAACAUUUCACGACGUAUACAGAGAUGUAUAUUUCUCUUCGGAGACGUGAGGAUAGGUGCUGCAUGGCUGUCGUCAGCUCGUGUCGUAAGAUGUCUGGUUAAGUCCAAUAACGAGCGCAACCCUUAUCCUUAGUUACCAGCAUUAAGUUGGGGACUCUAGGGAGACUGCCGGUGUUAAACCGGAGGAAGGCGGGGAUGACGUCAAGUCCUCAUGGCCCUUACGGGUAGGGCUACACACGUACUACAAUGGCAGAUACAAACCGUUUGCAAAGCCGCGAGGUUGAGCUAAUCGGUAAAACACUGUCCCAGUCCGGAUUGGAGUCUGCAACUCGACUCCA